UCAAGGAGCACCAUCUGAUUCCCAUCCAGCCCCUCAUUUGGUGACUAGAGAGUCAAGGAGUGAUCAGUAGAACCUGCUCAUCCUUUAAGACUCCCACACUGGGUGCCAAAUAGGAUUUGUGAUUUAACUCCAGCUGGCAGCUAAAUGCCACUCACCCUGCUGCUCACUCACCCUGCUGCCCCCAGUGCAUGGGGAGAACUGCAAAAAGACGGGAAAAGGCAGAGGAGAAUAACUUGUGUUGGACAUUUCUUAGCAGCAGCUGGCAGCAGUCGUGAUCUGCUUACUUUCCUGGAUGUAACAUUUUGAAAUAAAGAAGAUAAACUUGAGAAAACAGCCUAUAUAUACA
This is a long non-coding RNA of Ficedula albicollis (Collared flycatcher), 346 nucleotides long. RefSeq lists it as uncharacterized. The record is from RefSeq and is a predicted model, not a curated record. NCBI's taxonomy places the organism in Eukaryota, Metazoa, Chordata, Aves, Passeriformes, Muscicapidae. The transcript is spliced from 3 exons.